UGCAGAAUUGGAUGAUGGGCGUGUAUUUUUGUGUGAAGACAGACUGAUGAGGAUCAAUUGAAAAGAAGUAUGUAUCGUGCCUGACAGCUUCGUUUCAUGCUCUGUUGGCGAGGAUUCAACAACCGGAGAAGAGGACAGCAGUUGGAUACAUACGUUUCAUCUUUCUGGCGUGCUGUUGGCCGGCCUCACGCAACAUCCAACUAUUCCCGGAAUGCUCGUGGCCCAUAAGGGCCAUUGUGAAAAAAAGGGUGUGUUACAUCUGUGUAAAAGCGAGUAGUCGACAGUUAGUUGCUGUGUUUACUCUUGAAACGCUCUAGUGAUUAUUUAGAUUUCUUGAGAACGAGAAGUGCCGAUUGAGAUGGACGGGACAGAAUGUCCUUGUCUUUCUUGAGAGUUUUACAAGAGUUGUUCGAGAAAUGGCAUGCGUGUAGGAAGGAAGG
This is a long non-coding RNA of Daphnia pulicaria, 440 nucleotides long. RefSeq lists it as uncharacterized. The transcript is spliced from 3 exons. The record is from RefSeq and is a predicted model, not a curated record. Lineage: Eukaryota; Metazoa; Arthropoda; Branchiopoda; Diplostraca; Daphniidae.